GUGCACAUUUCAUUGUCUUGUUUUCUUUAUGUCAAGAGAGAAGAUAUUUCUAAUGUGCUAAAUAAACCUUUGGAGGUCAGUUAGCUGCAUGACUAUUUAGCCAUUGCUAUCAAUCACCUUCAGACCAGA
RNAcentral lists this small nucleolar RNA (129 nucleotides) under Catagonus wagneri (Chacoan peccary). The record is from RNAcentral. Lineage: Eukaryota; Metazoa; Chordata; Mammalia; Artiodactyla; Tayassuidae.